CUAAAAAUGGAUGAUCAGAUCCUUCAAUUUAAGAUCGGAGUUAUUGAUCUUUAUCUAGGUAGUGAAUAAAAUUUUCUAUCAAAAAUUCAACCUAUUCCGAUUUUUUUACACCAUUAAACUAGCAAGUAUCCCAUACUGGCCGUUAAAAAUUUUUAAUUUUGUGAGCUUUUGAUCGUAAGGUAAAUGAUAUCGAAAAAUUAUAAAAUUUGAUUUCUAGAAGUUUUAAAUGCUUUAGAUAAUGUUUAACGGUAUGGAUCGUCGAUUCGGAAGCUCUAUCAUCGAAAACAACAUAUGAGUACGAAUAUAAUCGUACUCAUAAAAGUAUAGUAGC
RNAcentral lists this long non-coding RNA (331 nucleotides) under Ananas comosus (pineapple). RNAcentral's name for it is "long non-coding RNA (ACOM_LNC024157)". The record is from RNAcentral. Lineage: Eukaryota; Viridiplantae; Streptophyta; Magnoliopsida; Poales; Bromeliaceae.